RNAcentral lists this long non-coding RNA (1337 nucleotides) under Echeneis naucrates (live sharksucker). RNAcentral describes it as "lncRNA (ENSENLG00000001732.1)". Lineage: Eukaryota; Metazoa; Chordata; Actinopteri; Carangiformes; Echeneidae. The record is from RNAcentral.
GGAGCAUGUCCAGUGCGGUCUUCUCCAAUCCACUGGGUGUAGCUAUUGUCUCUUAUUUAUGGAAGCUGACCAGUUUAAACUGGUGGUUUCUGACUUCCUGACCCUGUAGAUGCUUCUCACACACUUUCCCGCAGCUCAAAUGUGAAACUGUUGAUGAUUCAACAGUGUGUGACUCAUUUAUGCUUUUGCCUUCCGCAGCCCUCGGUGCAGGAAGCUACAAUGGACACGUCCAGGGCACAUAUGGUGAGAGCAGCAUCAGAGACACUGUGACAAACAAACGCACAAAGCGCACAAUUCAGCAGGGUUCGACGUCGACAAAUGGGAAACAAAAUUAACUUUAUUUGUCAAUAUGUCACGGCCGAAUGUGUUACUUCUGGGCAGCUGGUGCAGAAGCUGUGAAAAUAAGAUGCAUGAGUAUAUUUCUCACAGUGAUUGCCACCAACGUGUCCCCCCCCCCCCCCCCCCGUUAUCUUUCAGGAGCUCUUGGUGCAGGACUGGAAUCAACUGGUGGGAAAUAUGGUGAGUGGCGCUGACAUGACCUCAUCCCUCUGCUGUCACAUUAUUAGUCAGGCUUCCAUCUGAGUGGCUUUCCAUGCAUGAGUCAGCCUCGACGCAGGGGACAGAGCAGAGCAGCUUCGUACCAGAUGAGAAGGGGGAAGAUGGAGAUGUGAGUCAGUUUCACAGAUUUUGUUUUUCCUCAGGAGGAGGAGCCGCUCAGGUUCCUUACGGAAAUGCUCCGAUGAUUCCAGCCGGAAUGGAAGGCGAGGGGGGCUACCCUUACACCGCUCAGCAGCUCGGCCUCGGCGCUGAGGGCGCCAAAACCUCCAACAAAUAUGGGCCUGUUGCUGGAUACGGAACGCAGCAAACAGGUUAUGGCGCACAGCUGGGAGCGGCUCAAGACGCUUUGGGAGAUCAGGCUGGAAAAUUCGGCGGAGCGAACGGCGCCCUUGGACACGGGUACAAAGGCUAAAUCGCACAACCUGAGCUUCAAGUGGAUCGUUUUCACUGUAAUGUGUCAUUUUUGUGUGUGUUUCACUCCACUUUGUCCUGCUGUGUUAUCUAUUUGUCUUACGUUUGAUUUUUCUCGGCCCCCCUCCUCUUUGUCUUCUUUGUAAGUGUCCGGCGGUCUCGGUAGUCCAAACCAAGCCCCUCCCCGUCUCUUUCUCUCAAAGCUCAAAAAUUGAUGCUGAACAUAAACAUGAUGAUAAGUGCAAGAAAAGACUGUGCCUUUGUUUUUAUAAUGAAUGUUAAAAUGAACUAUUUACUGUUCUAAUCCAAUAAAUUAUAUAAAGUUGAUGCUGAACUGAAUUUUGUGCGUCAGAGCGUUGUUGUGUACC